UCGAACUAACCGGUCCAAUCCGAUUUUCAAAACAAUGUAUCAUUUACUUUGAAUGACUGAAUGACACCACUUGCUACCUAAAUCAAACUAAAAUUUUUCUUUGUGAUUGCCAUCUCAACUUGCAUCUUAAGUUCCAUUUCGCUUCUCUAGCUAAUCCCUUGUCAAAUUGCAAAGCGUGUCUAGGAUUAAAAGCUUACUUGCAAAAUUCUACAUAUCCACAUUUUGUUAUGCUCCAUUAUUCAAUUAUCAAAAUGAAUAAUUGAGCAUUUGGUUGAUGGAGUGCUCUUCUUUCGACUCAAAAUGCCGCCAUUUCGACCCGUCCCCGAACUCUAACACUAGACAAAUGAUGAAUCAGUUGAGAAAACAUCUACGAGUUUUUGCAGAAUAAAGUAAAAUGUUAUUCAGCUAAAAAAGGAAUUAAAACUAUAUAUAUAUAUAUAUAUAUAUAUGUAUGUAUGUAUGUAUGUAUAUAGGUACAUAUUAGACCAGAAUGACGUGACGCUAAGACACAUUAGACCAGACUUAAUUGCCCCAAAUUCUAGGUUGAAUCGAAAAUGAGGUGUAUUGUCGAAAAGUGAAACCAAUUCCAAGGUGUUCCAGAGCUCAGAUAUCGGUUAGAGAAUAUUUUAAUUGGAAAAUCAUCAAAUUUUGUCUUGGUCAAUAUUGAAUCUUGGCUCAAGAUCAAUACUAAAAGUAAUCAAAAUACUAAGAUUGGUACUAACAAUUAUUAAAUAAUUACUAACACUGAUUGAAAAAAGGGUCCUUCUUAUCUUCUCUUCUGCAAAUUCUCAAAAUAAACUUGUCAUGUUAAAAAAAAAAAAAAAAUUUUAGAUGGAUGGAAAUAGAUGAAGAAAUAUUAAAUCGUCCCAUGUCGCGUUUGGAAUUUUGACCUUGGAGAUGAGGAUUUUUAAAAAGAAAACAAAUGACCAAUAGACAGAAAAGAUGAAAAGUGAAAGAAAUGAGAUGUUUUGUUGAAAAUCUCGGAGAUGAGGGUCUAAAAAAAAUGAACAUUGGACAGAUCUUACUAUCAAAAUACAAUCUUCAUCCCACUUCCCGCAUGGAUCUGAAUUGCACAGAUAAAACCUAGACUUGUGUGGAUCGUGAAAGACUAAAUACGUUUGUCAAAGUCGAAAUAAUGCAGUCUUAGACACUAGGGUACAUUUAUGUUCGCAAUAUAUAAUUUUGUUGCAAUUUUUGAGAAAUAUAAUGGCAAUUGACUUGCUUUACAUUAAGUCUUGCAAAUUUCAAAGCUCAAAUGAAUAUAUUUUGUAAGAUCCGUGCGGGAAACAUAUUGAUUUCAUGUAAAAUAGCAAUAUUUUUAAUAUGCCUUCUGGAUUUCGAAAUGUCAAAGGAGACAAAAAAAAAUAUUUUUGUAUUAUUUUUUAAUGUGUCCUGAAUUGCAUCAACUAGAAAUAUUAUAGUUGUGGAAAAAGAUCAAAGAAGAGAUGCGCCUAAGGCAUGGUCCUUUUGGAAUAACAAGGUUAAAAUUUACCCCAAAUAUAGAUAAUAACAAGACAUAACUGUAUCCAACAGGUCAAGAAGGGACCUGUUCUAAUAUUAAUUGGAUUAUUUUAUAUGUCCUUUUUAUUGUUUUACUCCCUUCGUCCCACUUUGAUAGUCCUGUUUCUUUUUUCACACAGUUUAAGAAAAAAUAGCUAACUUUGUUGGAACAGUAAAUUUAAAUUGCUUUGUUCCUAAAAUACCUUCACAUUAAAUAUGGUACAACUUUAUGAGAACUUAAAUUGAUGGUAAAAAAAGGAUCAACUCUCAUUAAAUGGGGUAGAUUUAUAGUAAUAACUACUUACAUUGAAUAAGGGCAUUUUAGAAAAAUUAAAAUACAACUACAUUCUUUAAUUGAAAAGUGGACUACAAUUUGGGACAGAUGGAAAAGGAAUACAAAACUAUCAAAGUGGGACGGAGGGAGUAUUAAUUUUAUGAAUUUUGGGAUGUUUUAUGCUGAGAACAAGGCUCAGUUAUUCUUGACACGUCUUUUUUUUUAGGGGUUGCCGAUGCAAAGAACGUUGUGUGUGUGAUUAAGGUCAAGUAUGAUCAGGUCAUUAUGGUCUUUGUGAUUGAUGUCAUGAACUUCCAGCUCCAUUUUCAGAUAAAACAUCUGUUAUUUAACGAUUAUUCAAAAGAAUUGCUAUUUAUAAAAAGCUCGAAUCACCAAAAAAAAAAAUGAUGCAAAAUAUUAGAAAAAAUUUAAAAAAAAAUGAAUAAUCGAGCAUUUACUUGAUGGAGAGUUCUUCUUCCGACUCGGAAUACCAUUCAGAAUCCUACCAUUUCGACCUGUCCCCGGAACCUAACUCCUAGCAAUUGAUGAAUCAGUUGAGAAAACAUCAAUGUUUUUUUUUGCAAAAUGGUAUUCAGCCAAAAAACCUAUUUUGCAAAAAAUCAUAGGGGUAUUUUGGGAACUUUAGUGAUGAAACAGUAGUAAGUUCAUCUUACCUUAUAAUGCUAUCAUAAAGCCCAAUAAACUGACCAACAAUCACAAAGUAAUAAAUGCAGGAAAGUCUGUACUCUUUCAUCUACUGGAAGUUCUUCUCAUCUCCUCUCUCUCUCCCUCAUUUUUUCCCCUUGGAAAAUGAUGGGUGGUACGAGCCUUGAAAUGCAGUUCUGUAAUGUCAUCUUCAACCCCCAACCGACCCCACCUCAUAAUUCUGCAAUAUCAAGCAAUUUGACUUCGGAAUCAAGAUUAACCAACUUACAAGAACUACGCAAAUGAUGAGACAUGGAUCAAGUGUUUAUGCGAUGCACCCAAAAAAAAAAAAAAGUGAUUCUCUUUUACUGCAAUUUAGAACAAAAAAUAAAAACUGUUUGAGCUUGGCAAUGACAUGUCUUGCCUUGAUUUCUUCUUCUGGAGACGGUACCAGACCCUCAUCAGCCAUGACCUACAUAAAU
This 2901-nucleotide long non-coding RNA is filed under the name Coffea arabica (coffee). RNAcentral's name for it is "long non-coding RNA (CARA_LNC007279)". The record is from RNAcentral. Lineage: Eukaryota; Viridiplantae; Streptophyta; Magnoliopsida; Gentianales; Rubiaceae.